Dama dama (fallow deer) is the source of this 888-nucleotide long non-coding RNA. RefSeq lists it as uncharacterized. The transcript has 3 exons. The record is from RefSeq and is a predicted model, not a curated record. Lineage: Eukaryota; Metazoa; Chordata; Mammalia; Artiodactyla; Cervidae.
GAGCUAUAGCUAUAUAGUAACUCAUUUUUAAACCAGGCACCCUCAUGCUCUUCUAUUCAUCUCUGGCCCAAGAACACCUUUCAGAUCUUUUAAUCACAUAAUAUCUUGCCUAACUUGUUGGUUCUUUUUGUAGAUUAAAUCAGCAGAAAUGAAGAAUGAGUAACAGGUGAUCAGAUCUCUUCCCUAGCUUCCUUUCAAGUAAUUGCCAGAACAAACUCUGCGACCAAACUGUGUGAACAAGAUAACAUCUAGAGGAAGAUCACAAGGAGUCAACAAGUCUCCACACAAGUCUGCACAGAAAAGGGGAUGGUGAUGACUCUGACCCCUAUUUCAAUGGUUAACUGAGAUUACUUCUCUGUUUCUCUUAAAAAGCUUUGAUGGCCAAGUGGAAUCUCUGGAGGUGGUUUUUGGGGAAUGUGGAUUCCACCAUGUCCUCAGAUUGCCAGCAUUCUGAUCAAAGGCACUUUUCCCUUCUACCAUUUGCAAAAUGGAUAUGACAAAGGACCUGAUCAAAAGCACCCCAAAGACAUCAAGUGCUGAUCAGUGCAUACUGUCAGCCUUUCCAGUAUUUCAGAAAAGUCUGCAGAGCAUUCCUCCUUCUGCCUGCCUCCUCUCAGUGUAACUUAUCACCAGUACGUAACCUUGAGCCAAAGAACUUGGAAAUGAUCUGAAUGUCAGAAUCUCCUCAGAAGUGAACGGUCUGAUGUCCAGGAAGAGCCAGUGCUGAAGUACCUUUAUCAUACCUUCCUCUAAAGGGCCAAGUUCUAAGCCCUCCAAUGCAACCUGUUUGCCAGCACUUCCACAAAACAGCCCUCCUCCUCUAAUUCAGAGAAGUUUGACCAAAACCCAGAUCUGGGACAUAGAUAUGAACUGUGCCUUCUGUCUCCU